Molecule: ribosomal RNA, 468 nt
Filed under: uncultured bacterium
Lineage: Bacteria
Description: partial 16S ribosomal RNA
Rfam family: Bacterial small subunit ribosomal RNA
Source: RNAcentral
GACGAACGCUGGCGGCGUGCUUAACACAUGCAAGUCGAACGGAAAGGCCCUGCUUUUGUGGGGUGCUCGAGUGGCGCACGGGUGUGUAACACGUGAGUAACCUGCCCUUGACUUUGGGAUAACUUCAGGAAACUGGGGCUAAUACCGGAUAGGAGCUCCUGCUGCAUGGUGGGGGUUGGAAAGUUUCGGCGGUUGGGUAUGGACUCGCGGCUUAUCAGCUUGUUGGUGGGGUAGUGGCUUACCAAGGCUUUGACGGGUAGCCGGCCUGAGAGGGUGACCGGCCACAUGGGGACUGAGAUACGGCCCAGACGCCUACGGGAGGCAGCAGGGGGGAAUAUUGCACAAUGGGCGGAAGCCUGAUGCAGCAACGCCGCGUGCGGGAUGACGGCCUUCGGGUUGUAAACCGCUUUGGCCUGUGACGAAGCGUGAGUGACGGUAAUGGGUAAAGAAGCAACGGCUAACUACGUG